This 990-nucleotide unclassified non-coding RNA is filed under the name Hevea brasiliensis (rubber tree). The record is from RNAcentral. Lineage: Eukaryota; Viridiplantae; Streptophyta; Magnoliopsida; Malpighiales; Euphorbiaceae.
AAAAUUUUGGGGAUAGGCCGAAUUUAGGGUUCCUCCCGAUCUGAGCAACCAAAAGUCAACAAAUUUUUUUUUUCAAACUUCUCUCAGAUUUAGGGGCUUUGGAGUUUUUUCUAUUUCUUGAUUUAGCGCUAGAAUUAGGAUUUUAGUUUAUGUGUUCUCAGUGAAGCGGCGAAGCUUUUGUUAGGGCACUGUAAAGCGGGUAAUCGGAUCUGCCAAUGCAAAUUGAAUUGAAAUCUCAAGAAGUUUCGGUGAUUUUUGGGAUACCGAAAGCGUUAAACUGAAAGCAAAUCAAUGUCUUGGGCAAGUCCAGAAGAUAUCUAUACCUCCACUUCUCUUGCAAGUUAUCUCGACAAGAAACUUCUUGUGCUGUUGCGAGAUGGGCGAAAGCUUUUAGGAAUACUUCGUUCUUUUGACCAAUUUGCUAAUGCUGUUCUUGAAAGUGCAUGUGAGCGUGCUAUUGUUGGUGAUCUAUAUUGUGAUAUCCCAUUAGGUCUCUAUAUUAUACGUGGGGAAAAUGUUGUGUUAAUUGGUGAACUGGACGUGGAUAAGGAGGAGCUUCCUCCCCAUAUGACACGUGUUUCAGAAGCUGAGAUAAGAAGGGCACAGAAAGCAGAAAGGGACUCUACAGAUCUUAAAGGUUCAAUGAGGAAGAGGAUGGAAUUUCUUGAUAUGGAUUAAAGGUUUACUGUUGUUUACGAUAAUUCCAUGUCUUCUGCAAAUAUUAUCGCAGUUGCUGCGUGGCGUUCGUUUUCUCCUGGGAUAUUCUGUGUUCAUUUGUAACAUGUGUUUCUUUUAUGACGUUUGAGUAAAGGUUACUGGUGUUAAGACAUGGUGAAUGGGGAAACAAGUGUUUGAGUUGUUCCAUUUCCCGUCUUUUAUGCUAGUCUGGAGGAAUUGUAGUUUUAAGUUAGACUCUGUAUAUGCUGUGAAAUGGGAGUUUCCGGUAUUUGCUUUUUUUCCAAUGUCCUUUUCUUAUUCAACAUUAAUCAA